RNAcentral lists this transfer RNA (74 nucleotides) under Candidatus Nealsoniibacteriota bacterium. RNAcentral's name for it is "tRNA-Val". The record is from RNAcentral. RNAcentral also lists the same sequence under 1 other name. Lineage: Bacteria; Candidatus Nealsoniibacteriota.
GGGCGUAUAGCUCAACUGGUUAGAGCGUCUCGGUGACAUCGAGAAGGUUUCCCGUUCGAGUCGGGAUACGCCCA